This 449-nucleotide ribosomal RNA is filed under the name uncultured bacterium. RNAcentral describes it as "partial 16S ribosomal RNA". It matches the Rfam family "Bacterial small subunit ribosomal RNA", at positions 29 to 523 of the family's 1533-position model. The record is from RNAcentral.
AACGGACGCUGGCGGCAGGCUUAACACAUGCAAGUCGAACGCCCUAGCAAUAGGGAGUGGCGCACGGGUGAGUAACGCGUGGGAAUAUACCGUUUAGUGGGGAAUAACGUUGGGAAACUAACGCUAAUACCGCAUACGCCCGAGAGGGGAAAGAUUUACCGCUAAACGAUUAGCCCGCGUGAGAUUAGGUAGUUGGUGGGGUAAUGGCCUACCAAGCCUACGAUCUCUAGCUGGUCUGAGAGGAUGAUCAGCCACACUGGAACUGAGACACGGUCCAGACUCCUACGGGAGGCAGCAGUGGGGAAUAUUGGACAAUGGGCGCAAGCCUGAUCCAGCCAUGCCGCGUGAGUGAUGAAGGCCUUAGGGUUGUAAAGCUCUUUCGCCGAUGAAGAUAAUGACGGUAGUCGGAGAAGAAGCCCCGGCUAACUUCGUGCCAGCCGCCGCGGUAA